This 869-nucleotide ribosomal RNA is filed under the name uncultured Granulicatella sp. RNAcentral's name for it is "bacterial SSU rRNA". It matches the Rfam family "Bacterial small subunit ribosomal RNA", at positions 56 to 905 of the family's 1533-position model. Lineage: Bacteria; Bacillati; Bacillota; Bacilli; Lactobacillales; Carnobacteriaceae. The record is from RNAcentral.
UGCAAGUCGAACGAGAGCGACCGGUGCUUGCACUGGUCAAUCUAGUGGCCAACGGGUGAGUAACACGUGGGUAACCUGCCCAUCAGAGGGGGAUAACAUUCGGAAACGGAUGCUAAAACCGCAUAGGUCCUUUAACCGCAUGGUUGAAGGAGGAAAAGAGGCGCAAGCUUCUGCUGAUGGAUGGACCCGCGGUGCAUUAGCUAGUUGGUGAGGUAACGGCUCACCAAGGCCGUGAUGCAUAGCCGACCUGAGAGGGUGAUCGGCCACAUUGGGACUGAGACACGGCCCAAACUCCUACGGGAGGCAGCAGUAGGGAAUCUUCCGCAAUGGACGCAAGUCUGACGGAGCAACGCCGCGUGAGUGAAGAAGGUUUUCGGAUCGUAAAACUCUGUUGUUAGAGAAGAACAAGUGCUAGAGUAACUGUUAGCGCCUUGACGGUAUCUAACCAGAAAGCCACGGCUAACUACGUGCCAGCAGCCGCGGUAAUACGUAGGUGGCAAGCGUUGUCCGGAUUUAUUGGGCGUAAAGCGAGCGCAGGCGGUUCCUUAAGUCUGAUGUGAAAGCCCCCGGCUCAACCGGGGAGGGUCAUUGGAAACUGGGGAACUUGAGUGCAGAAGAGGAGAGUGGAAUUCCAUGUGUAGCGGUGAAAUGCGUAGAUAUAUGGAGGAACACCAGUGGCGAAGGCGACUCUCUGGUCUGUAACUGACGCUGAGGCUCGAAAGCGUGGGUAGCAAACAGGAUUAGAUACCCUGGUAGUCCACGCCGUAAACGAUGAGUGCUAAGUGUUGGAGGGUUUCCGCCCUUCAGUGCUGCAGUUAACGCAUUAAGCACUCCGCCUGGGGAGUACGACCGCAAGGUUGAAACUCAAA